UGCGGGUUGCGGGCCAAGCUGAGAUCAUGAGCUGGCGCGGCCCCACUUCAGACGUUAGUUGGGACCUGGUAUUCACUAUUCAGGGGCAGUGUGGACAAGGAUGAUCCGCGGAAAAUCCGCAGGUAUCCUUGGUCAUAAAAGGGCUCAAUCCAGGCCAUUCGAUCGAGAUAUACCACUUUAUCACUUAGCGGACACGUAACGUGACAUCAUAGGGAUCACCUGGGAAUACCAUGGACU
RNAcentral lists this long non-coding RNA (237 nucleotides) under Elaeis guineensis (African oil palm). RNAcentral's name for it is "long non-coding RNA (EGUI_LNC004286)". Lineage: Eukaryota; Viridiplantae; Streptophyta; Magnoliopsida; Arecales; Arecaceae. The record is from RNAcentral.